UGGAUCCAGACUUUGAUCAUGGCUCAGGACGAACGCUGGCGGCGUGCUUCAUACAUGCAAGUCGAACGAGAAUCUGACUUCGGUCAGAGGAAAGUGGCGGACGGGUGAGUAAAAUGUAGAGAAUCUGCCCUGUACAGGGGGACAACAGUUGGAAACGACUGCUAAUACCCCAUAUGAGCGUAUCUGAAAUGGUAUUCUUGAAAGUUCCGGCGGUACAGGAUGAGUCUGCAUCUGAUUAGCUAGUUGGGGGUGUAAUGGACCACCAAGGCGACGAUCAGUAGCUGGUUUGAGAGGAUGAUCAGCCACAAUGGGACUGAGACACGGCCCAUACUCCUACGGGAGGCAGCAGUAGGGAAUUUUGCGCAAUGGGCGAAAGCCUGACGCAGCAACGCCGCGUGAUUGAUGAAGCCCUUCGGGGUGUAAAGAUCUGUCAGUGGGGACGAAACUUGACGGUGCCCACAGAGGAAGCACCGGCUAACCCCGUGCCAGCAGCCGCGGUAAUACGGAGGGUGCAAGCGUUGUCCGGAAUCAUUGGGCGUAAAGAGUUCGUAGGUGGUUUGUUAAGUUUGGUGUUAAAUGCAGAUGCUCAACAUCUGUUCGGCAUCGGAUACUGGCAGACUAGAAUGCGGUAGAGGUAAAGGGAAUUCCUGGUGUAGCGGUGAAAUGCGUAGAUAUCAGGAGGAACAUCGGUGGCGUAAGCGCUUUACUGGGCCGUAAUUGACACUGAGGAACGAAAGCCAGGGUAGCAAAUGGGAUUAGAUACCCCAGUAGUCCUGGCCGUAAACGAUGGAUACUAGGUGUUGCGGGUAUCGACCCCUGCAGUGCCGCAGCUAACGCGUUAAGUAUCCCGCCUGGGGAGUACGCACGCAAGUGUGCAACUCAAAUGAAUUGACGGA
RNAcentral lists this ribosomal RNA (896 nucleotides) under uncultured Pseudomonadota bacterium. Its description in RNAcentral is "bacterial SSU rRNA". It matches the Rfam family "Bacterial small subunit ribosomal RNA", at positions 1 to 917 of the family's 1533-position model. Lineage: Bacteria; Pseudomonadati; Pseudomonadota. The record is from RNAcentral.